UACGAGGGGGGCAAGCGUUGUUCGGAAUUAUUGGGCGUAAAGGGCGCGUAGGCGGUUCGGCAAGUCGGGUGUGAAAUUUCGAGGCUCAACCUCGAAACGCCACUCGAUACUGCUGUGACUGGAGUCCGGUAGAGGAGUGCGGAAUUCCUGGUGUAGCGGUGAAAUGCGCAGAUAUCAGGAGGAACACCAACGGCGAAGGCAGCACUCUGGGCCGGUACUGACGCUGAGGAGCGAAAGCGUGGGGAGCAAACAGG
This 254-nucleotide ribosomal RNA is filed under the name uncultured bacterium. RNAcentral's name for it is "partial 16S ribosomal RNA". It matches the Rfam family "Bacterial small subunit ribosomal RNA", at positions 524 to 776 of the family's 1533-position model. The record is from RNAcentral.